This 544-nucleotide unclassified non-coding RNA is filed under the name Pentanema multicaule. Its description in RNAcentral is "contains 3 external transcribed spacer, ETS". The record is from RNAcentral. Lineage: Eukaryota; Viridiplantae; Streptophyta; Magnoliopsida; Asterales; Asteraceae.
GCAUCCUGGGAGCUUCUCUGGUUGGUUUGUUUCCGGUGGUUGGCUCUCUGCUUUUGCAACAACUUCCACCUGGCAAUCCUCCUCAUGUUUGCGUUAGGGUUGUCCUUUGCGCGCUUUUGGUUAGCUGUGUUGCCUACCUGUGUGACGGCAUUGUUAGAUAAUAUGUCCUGUUUUGUCUUCGUGUCGUACGUCGCGUGGGAUAAACCUUAAAGCUGAUUCUAUGAUCCACUUUGUUGACGCGCAUGCGCCGAUGUCGUGGCCCAUUGAGUUUUGCUUGGUGACUCGGAUACAGAACAUGAUAUGGGCUAGGGUCUCUGCGGACCCUCUUUGCCCUAGUUGAACGUUAUUACAUCUCUAAGACGACCUCCUAGCCCGAAUUGGCUCGUACCACCGGGUAGGUUGAUGUUGUUAAAGAGAAAAUGAUAGCGUUUUGCUUUCCUUAAAACGAACGGCCUUGCCUGCAUGGGCUUGUACCAGCGGGUGGGCUAUGUCGAAGAGGGAUGCUACCUGGUUGAUCCUGCCAGUAGUCAUAUGCUUGUCUCAA